AGAGUUUGAUCCUGGCUCAGGAUGAACGCUAGCGGCAGGCCUAAUACAUGCAAGUCGAACGAGACUGAGUAGCAAUACUUAGUUUAGUGGCGCACGGGUGCGUAACGCGUAUGCAACCUACCUUCUAUUGGGGGAUAGCCUUCCGAAAGGGAGAUUAAUACCGCAUAACAUCAUUUGAGGGCAUCCGAAGAUGAUCAAAGCUACGGCGAUAGAAGAUGGGCAUGCGUGCCAUUAGCUAGCUGGUUGAGGUAACGGCUCACCAAGGCUACGAUGGCUAGGGGUUCUGAGAGGAUGAUCCCCCACACUGGUACUGAGAUACGGACCAGACUCCUACGGGAGGCAGCAGUAGGGAAUAUUGGGCAAUGGACGCAAGUCUGACCCAGCCAUGCCGCGUGCAGGAUGAAGGCCUUCUGGGUUGUAAACUGCUUUUUUACGGGAAGAAAAAACUCUUGCGAGAGGAACUGACGGUACCGUAAGAAUAGGCACCGGCUAACUCCGUGCCAGCAGCCGCGGUAAUACGGAGGGUGCAAGCGUUGUCCGGAUUUAUUGGGUUUAAAGGGUGCGUAGGCGGCCCGUUAAGUCAGUGGUGAAAGCCCAUAGCUCAACUAUGGAACUGCCAUUGAUACUGACGGGCUUGAGUACAGACGAGGUAGGCGGAAUUGAAGAUGUAGCGGUGAAAUGCAUAGAUACCUUCAAGAACACCGAUUGCGUAGGCAGCUUACUAGGCUGUAACUGACGCUGAGGCACGAAAGCGUGGGGAGCGAACAGGAUUAGAUACCCUGGUAGUCCACGCUGUAAACGACGAUUACUCGAUGUCGGCGAUAAACUGUCGGCGUCUUAGCGAAAGCGUUAAGUAAUCCACCUGGGGAGUACGCCCGCAAGGGUGAAACUCAAAUGAAUUGACGG
Molecule: ribosomal RNA, 906 nt
Filed under: uncultured bacterium
Lineage: Bacteria
Description: bacterial SSU rRNA
Rfam family: Bacterial small subunit ribosomal RNA
Source: RNAcentral